RNAcentral lists this ribosomal RNA (796 nucleotides) under uncultured bacterium. Its description in RNAcentral is "bacterial SSU rRNA". It matches the Rfam family "Bacterial small subunit ribosomal RNA", at positions 9 to 787 of the family's 1533-position model. The record is from RNAcentral.
GAGUUUGAUCCUGGCUCAGGAUGAACGCUGGCGGCGUGCCUAAUACAUGCAAGUCGAGCGAACAGACGAGGAGCUUGCUCCUUUGACGUUAGCGGCGGACGGGUGAGUAACACGUAGAUAACCUACCUAUAAGACUGGGAUAACUUCGGGAAACCGGAGCUAAUACCGGAUAACAUGUUGAACCGCAUGGUUCAACAGUGAAAGACGGUCUUGCUGUCACUUAUAGAUGGAUCCGCGCCGCAUUAGCUAGUUGGUAAGGUAACGGCUUACCAAGGCAACGAUGCGUAGCCGACCUGAGAGGGUGAUCGGCCACACUGGAACUGAGACACGGUCCAGACUCCUACGGGAGGCAGCAGUAGGGAAUCUUCCGCAAUGGGCGAAAGCCUGACGGAGCAACGCCGCGUGAGUGAAGAAGGUCUUCGGAUCGUAAAACUCUGUUAUUAGGGAAGAACAAAUGUGUAAGUAACUAUGCACGUCUCGACGGUACCUAAUCAGAAAGCCACGGCUAACUACGUGCCAGCAGCCGCGGUAAUACGUAGGUGGCAAGCGUUAUCCGGAAUUAUUGGGCGUAAAGCGCGCGUAGGCGGUUUUUUAAGUCUGAUGUGAAAGCCCACGGCUCAACCGUGGAGGGUCAUUGGAAACUGGAAAACUUGAGUGCAGAAGAGGAAAGUGGAAUUCCAUGUGUAGCGGUGAAAUGCGCAGAGAUAUGGAGGAACACCAGUGGCGAAGGCGACUUUCUGGUCUGUAACUGACGCUGAUGUGCGAAAGCGUGGGGAUCAAACAGGAUUAGAUACCC